This 243-nucleotide ribosomal RNA is filed under the name uncultured bacterium. RNAcentral describes it as "partial 16S ribosomal RNA". It matches the Rfam family "Bacterial small subunit ribosomal RNA", at positions 774 to 1016 of the family's 1533-position model. The record is from RNAcentral.
AGGAUUAGAUACCUUGGUAGUCCACGCCGUAAACGAUGUCUACUAGCCGUUGGGACUCUUGAAGUCUUAGUGGCGCAGCUAACGCACUAAGUAGACCGCCUGGGGAGUACGGCCGCAAGGUUAAAACUCAAAUGAAUUGACGGGGGCCCGCACAAGCGGUGGAGCAUGUGGUUUAAUUCGACGCAACGCGAAGAACCUUACCUGGCCUUGACAUGCAGAGAACUUUCCAGAGAUGGAUUGGUG